GACGAACGCUGGCGGCGUGCUUAACACAUGCAAGUCGAACGGAAAGGCCCUGCUUUUGUGGGGUGCUCGAGUGGCGAACGGGUGAGUAACACGUGAGUAACCUGCCCUUGACUUUGGGAUAACUUCAGGAAACUGGGGCUAAUACCGGAUAGGAGCUCCUGCUGCAUGGUGGGGGUUGGAAAGUUUCGGCGGUUGGGGAUGGACUCGCGGCUUAUCAGCUUGUUGGUGGGGUAGUGGCUUACCAAGGCUUUGACGGGUAGCCGGCCUGAGAGGGUGACCGGCCACAUUGGGACUGAGAUACGGCCCAGACUCCUACGGGAGGCAGCAGUGGGGAAUGUUGCACAUUGGGCGGAAGCCUGAUGCAGCAACGCCGCGUGCGGGAUGACGGCCUUCGGGUUGUAAACCGCUUUCGCCUGUGACGAAGCGUGAGUGACGGUAAUGGGUAAAGAAGCACCGGCUAACUACGUG
Molecule: ribosomal RNA, 468 nt
Filed under: uncultured bacterium
Lineage: Bacteria
Description: partial 16S ribosomal RNA
Rfam family: Bacterial small subunit ribosomal RNA
Source: RNAcentral